GGGCGGUUAGCUCAGUUGGUAGAGCACAUGCCUUACAAGCCUGGGGUCACAGGUUCGAGCCCUGUACCGCCCACCA
This 76-nucleotide transfer RNA is filed under the name Candidatus Margulisiibacteriota bacterium. RNAcentral describes it as "tRNA-Val". It matches the Rfam family "tRNA". Rfam says of the family: Transfer RNA (tRNA) molecules are approximately 80 nucleotides in length. Their secondary structure includes four short double-helical elements and three loops (D, anti-codon, and T loops). Lineage: Bacteria; Bacillati; Candidatus Margulisiibacteriota. The record is from RNAcentral.